This is a non-coding RNA of Ictidomys tridecemlineatus (thirteen-lined ground squirrel), 69 nucleotides long. Lineage: Eukaryota; Metazoa; Chordata; Mammalia; Rodentia; Sciuridae. The record is from Rfam.
GGGGUUGUGGCUCAGCGGUUGAGCGCUUGCCUGGCACAUGCAAGACCCUGGGUUCAAUCCUCAGCACCA